GACUGGUUUUAUGACAUAUCUUAGUCCUAAGUGGGUUUCACAAAGUGGUCCUAACUUAGGACAUCUCUUAAAGUUAGUCAUAAAGUUAGGACUACACGAGAGGUGUCUUAUGAUGGUCUUAGGAUAGUCAUACGUUUAUUUAUAUAAUUUACACUUAUUUUAUAUAUUAAUUUUGCAAAUUGUUUAUCUAUUAUCUAAUUAGCAAAUCUCCCUUUACUGCUCUUAAAUAAUUCUGUACAGGUUGACAAAUUAUCAACAAUGA
RNAcentral lists this long non-coding RNA (262 nucleotides) under Mytilus galloprovincialis (Mediterranean mussel). Lineage: Eukaryota; Metazoa; Mollusca; Bivalvia; Mytilida; Mytilidae. The record is from RNAcentral.